Molecule: unclassified non-coding RNA, 398 nt
Filed under: Hevea brasiliensis (rubber tree)
Lineage: Eukaryota; Viridiplantae; Streptophyta; Magnoliopsida; Malpighiales; Euphorbiaceae
Source: RNAcentral
GGAAGCGGUGGCGCUGAAGUAGAGUGGCACAGCUCCCAAAUUCAUCACCUCGUGGUGGUUGUCUUUUAGAUGAUGAUGAAGUUGAAAAUGCAGUCAGUGACUGUGACCUCCUAUGAGGUGAAGAUAUAUUAACUUCAAGAACCAUAGCUUAUUCACUGAAUCUUUUGCAACUCGACACAAUUUCUGCACGAUGAAAUGAAAGCGGAAGUCCGUUACCUUCAACCGAUGGAUGGCGGAGAUAUUGGCGUCGAACAUAGGUCCUUUUCCGAGCAAAAACAUAAUCAAUGUGUAUGCGAGAAUGGAGAGCUCCUCCUUUUCCUUGUUCAAUGGUGAGGAGAGAUCCCCGCAACGACACCACAGUCGCACACUUGCGAGACCAAAGUCAUGUUAGCUUAAUG